AGUGAACGCUGGCGGCAGGCCUAAUACAUGCAAGUCGAACGGCAGCACAGUAAGAGCUUGCUUUUACGGGUGGCGAGUGGCGGAUGGGUGAGGCAUACACCGCAUCCACUCUUUACCGGGGGAACUCCGGGGGACACGUGCUCCUACCGCGUAACCCCCCUAACCGCGUAAGCUGGGGUUGCUCGGCCCCUCCGGCUUUCAAUUGCGCGUUGUCCGAUUGGCCAGUUGGCGGGGUAAGGGGCCACCAAGGCCACCAUCCGUAGCUGGUCUCCGAGGAUGAUCGGCCACACUGGAACUGAGACACGGUCCAGACUCCUACGGGAGGCAGCAGUGGGGAAUAUUGGACAAUGGGCGCAAGCCUGAUCCAGCCAUACCGCGUGGGUGAAGAAGGCCUUCGGGUUGUAAAGCCCUUUUGUUGGGAAAGAAAAGCAGCAGGUUAAUACCCCGCUGUUCUGACGGUACCCAAAGAAUAAGCACCGGCUAACUUCGUG
Molecule: ribosomal RNA, 491 nt
Filed under: uncultured bacterium
Lineage: Bacteria
Description: partial 16S ribosomal RNA
Rfam family: Bacterial small subunit ribosomal RNA
Source: RNAcentral